RNAcentral lists this ribosomal RNA (495 nucleotides) under uncultured bacterium. RNAcentral's name for it is "partial 16S ribosomal RNA". It matches the Rfam family "Bacterial small subunit ribosomal RNA", at positions 28 to 507 of the family's 1533-position model. The record is from RNAcentral.
GACGAACGCUGGCGGCGUGCCUAAUACAUGCAAGUAGAACGCUGAAGGAGGAGCUUGCUUCUCUGGAUGAGUUGCGAACGGGUGAGUAACGCGUAGGUAACCUGCCUGGUAGCGGGGGAUAACUAUUGGAAACGAUAGCUAAUACCGCAUAAUAGUAGAUGUUGCAUGACAUUUGCUUAAAAGGUGCAAUUGCAUCACUACCAGAUGGACCUGCGUUGUAUUAGCUAGUUGGUGGGGUAACGGCUCACCAAGGCGACGAUACAUAGCCGACCUGAGAGGGUGAUCGGCCACACUGGGACUGAGACACGGCCCAGACUCCUACGGGAGGCAGCAGUAGGGAAUCUUCGGCAAUGGACGGAAGUCUGACCGCGCAACGCCGCGUGAGGGAAGAAGGUUGUCGGAUCGUAAAGCUCUGUUGUAAGAGAAGAACGAGUGUGAGAGUGGAAAGUUCACACUGUGACGGUAUCUUACCAGAAAGGGACGGCUAACUACGUG